UCACCACCAUUAGAAACUGAGAGAUUCCUCUCGCAGAUCGCUUAUGGACCACUUGAGGAGAUUUUGAUACGCAGCUUGCGCUUGUGGCUGUGUUGACGUUCAUCGUGUGUCAGAAUAAGCUUUAAUGGAGCUCUCUACAUCUAUGAAUCCGUGGUGUCUUAGAGCCUGAAAUCUACUGAAUUAUUUGUAGGUGAAGUGCUUAUGUUGUGAGAUACUCUUGGAGUGUUUGUUUGUGUGCGUUGCUGUUGUUAGAGUAUACGCUCGCAUGACGGCAAUUGUAGCGCCCUUGAUGUUUCUACAGCCGACCAAGCUCUUGCGUGGAGAACGGAAGACGUACCAAUGUCUGCCAAUUUGGCUCGCUCUAGGAGGGGGAGUCAGCUUUGCUUGAUUCGGGCCACUGUUGGAGCAUAGUGAGGAGUAUUGUUUAGACGAGUUAAAGAAAAAUGGCAGCACAAGCAAUGAUGCGCAAAGCUGCGCCAUGCGCAAUGCGACAGUUAAAAUGCAUCACAGUGGACGUUACUGGCACCUUGAUAGCAUACAAGGGGCUUCUGGGAGAUUACUACUGUAAAGCUGCCAAAGCCGUGGGCGUCCCUUGCCCCGAUUAUGAUCAAAUGCACGAGGGCUUUAAGGUUGCGUACACGGAAAUGGCCUCAAAGUAUCCAUGUUUUGGCCAGGCCACCAAGAUGUCUAAUAGAGAUUGGUGGCGGACGUGCGUUCGAAACUCUUUCCGCGAGGCUGGCUAUGACUACAGUAAUGAAAUCUUCGACCAUGUGUUCAAGAGAAUCUAUUCCAUGUUUGGGUCCACUGCGCCAUACAUGAUCUACUCCGAUGCACAGCCUUUCUUGCGAUGGGCGCGAAAGCAAGGGAUUGUAGUAGGAGUGGUGAGCAAUGCUGAGUACCGGUACCGUGACAUCAUAUUGCCGACUCUAGGUCUCAAUCAGGGUUCGGAAUGGGACUUUGGAUUGUUCUCAGGUAUCGUCGGAAUUGAGAAGCCCGACCCUAGAAUUUUUGAGAUUGCACUCAAGAAAGCUGGUGGAGUAGCCCCUGAGCAUGCUCUACACAUCGGAGACAGCCUUGUGAAGGACUAUCUUCCUGCUCGAGAACUUGGCAUGCACGCGAUGCUACUUGACAGAUUCAAAUCCAAGGAAGCCCGCGUUGCAAGGGAGGCUGGUGUGCCUGUGUUUCCUGACCUCUCAGAUGCACAAAACUUUAUUAUUUCGUGGCAAGAGCAAGUAAAACGUGCGUCAAUGAUUUAGCUAUCUUAGUUGUUUCUUGCCACGUUCCUUCAGACCAAACAAGUUUGUAUCAUACAAGAACGGAAUUUUAGUGUCUGCUUGGUAAAAUGAAGGAAUCACUUUUCAAGUCUAAGAUGUGCAGACAUGGGGUUGCGUGAGUCUUUUCUCCAUCAAGCGGCCAUGAAGAAGCAUAUCAAAAAUUUUGGACGACUGUAAAGGGCUAUUUCCAACCCUAGGAUGAAGACACUUGGUCUCGUAUUCAACAUGUGUAUUUACUGAUUGUAAAUGAGCGUCUCUCGUCGGCAUGUGCGUCCUGUUCGGAGAUAACCAAUCAUUCACCAAGGAUGGAUUUUCCACUUGCACCGAAAGCGUGAUGGGAAGGAAGUUCCGAGUUUACUCACAAGCUUAUUGUGGAGUCAAGGAAAACACCUUCACGACGAACUUUGACAGCCCUAUGAGGGAGAAAAGCAGCACGUCACCUACUUUUAAACCAUGUGCAAUUGAGAAUUCCUUCCACCCUCCACGAAAUUGCACUCUGUUCCCAUUACCGUUUACUCUAACGCUUAGUUUCACAACAACGAAAUUAGACCCUGGCCCAAGAAGAAACACGCUCGCUUGAAAUCUGUCGCCGUGCGCUCGCACGAAAUGAGAUGGCAAUUCCUGACAGCAUUACUCCGCAAAUCAACACUUUAUCAGCCCCAUAUGUGUUGAGUUGACAGGGUUAAUAAGGUUUAGAAUCACUAUCGUUGUGCAUACAAUCCGAAAGUCUAAAAUCAGGAACUGUACGACAUACGCCCAGCUUGCAAAUUGCAGAUAGGAUCUCAUCUCCAACACAGGUAGCGGAUUAAUCUUACCAGCCGUAAGUCGUCUCCGGCACCUUUCUGGGGAACAUUGAUUCCUGUUAGCUUCUUCGUGAACUGUGGGUAUCUGGAGUUCAAAUUGAUCGCAGAAUUGAGUCCUAGUGAAUUGUGGCAAAUAUCUUUUGACAGGAGAAGCGGAUUUAUUCCUUCGACGGAUUUGAUCUUCGCUCUCUCAGAAUAGGUCCACUGCAUCGGCUCCGCAUUCAAGCAGUUUUCUACUGCGUUCAGGUUGAUUCUACUAGGAGAUAGUGAGCUCGUUUGGUUAGAUGUAACCUCCGGCAGCGGAGGAGCUUCUGAGAUUACAGAGGGGCUGUCAAGCUGACUUUCAUGGUCUUUGCUGGACGAAAUGAGGUUUCCGAACACCGCCUCCUCGUGUGGUUGGGCACAGAGAAGGACACGAAAUCUUGACCUUGCUACCAGCUGGAAAAUGAUCCGGUCGCCCAUCUGUAAGCAAUUCUCCGUCACAAAGUAUUUCCAUCCAUGAGCCAUAAAAACGCUGACAUUUAGUCGGCCAUCCCUUCCAGCGCAGGUUCUCACUUUGAGCAUCACACGCAGCGGACAGCCGUUGGGUCCUGUCAACGAGAUCACUGAAUGAAGCAUAUUGCCGUGUUUGUUGAUGAAUUCGAUAGGAAUUACCUUCAUGCAGCAUUGACACGCACUUGUUAGUCUAUCUGAGCAGGUGCAUAAACAUGAAAGAGUUCAAAGGAUCGAAGAGAGAAAAGUACAGGCAAUACACAGACGAUUGCGGGAUCUCACCAGUCGGUCAUUUCUCUCCGUCAUCGCCCGUGUAAUCGUCUUCACAAAACAAGGUGCGUCGGAAUUCAGCACCAUGGUUUGCACAUCAAUGUUGCUCAGCGGAGGUGAAGCUCCUGUUCUAGACAUGAUUUACUACAUCUGUGUUAUCACUCCAUCCUAUGCAAAAGUACGCAGAUAUAGCAUUCCCACCUUCGCGUAUUACUUUCGAAGCUGACUUUCAGGUUCGUCAUGCUGGUGUAGCACGUCACAGCAAAAACAGAUUAGAUGUGUUUCUGAAGGUGCCAUUAACUCUACCAACAUGCGGCGUCAUCACAGACCUUGCACGGAAAUGUCGCACUCUGAUGUUUUCGAGUCGGACAUCAUGAUGAAAGUAUGCUUUUCAACUUCCGGAGGAAUUCAACUUUCCAGCAAAAAACUGCACUGAUGUACAUGUACUGAGACAUAACCAUGAAUGAACAUUAAAUGUUACAGCUUGCCGAGAAUAUAUUUCAGUGAAGAGUCUAAUCUCUUGCAACAGAAUAAACACAACUUUU
Physcomitrium patens is the source of this 3384-nucleotide non-coding RNA. The record is from RefSeq and is a predicted model, not a curated record. NCBI's taxonomy places the organism in Eukaryota, Viridiplantae, Streptophyta, Bryopsida, Funariales, Funariaceae.